RNAcentral lists this ribosomal RNA (292 nucleotides) under uncultured bacterium. RNAcentral's name for it is "partial 16S ribosomal RNA". The record is from RNAcentral.
GGACUACCCGGGUAUCUAAUCCCGUUCGCUACCCUGGCUUUCGUGUGUGAGCGUCAGGAACGCGCCAGUAGAGUGCCUUCGCCUUUGGUGUUCCCCACGAUAUCAACGGAUUUCACCCCUCCACCGUGAGUUCCCUCUACCUCUCGCGCCCUCGAGCCCUGCCGUUUCCCUUGCGGACCGUAGGUUAAGCCCACGGAUUUUACAAGAGACUAACAGGGCCGCCUGGACACCCUUUACGCCCAGUGAUUCCGGAUAAUGCUCGGGGCCUCUGUAUUACCGCGGCGGCUGGCAC